GUGAACGCUGGCGGUAGGCCUAACACAUGCAAGUCGAACGGCAGCACAGUAAGAGCUUGCUCUUACGGGUGGCGAGUGGCGGACGGGUGAGGAAUACAUCGGAAUCUACUUUUUCGUGGGGGAUAACGUAGGGAAACUUACGCUAAUACCGCAUACGACCUACGGGUGAAAGCAGGGGAUCUUCGGACCUUGCGCGAUUGAAUGAGCCGAUGUCGGAUUAGCUAGUUGGCGGGGUAAAGGCCCACCAAGGCGACGAUCCGUAGCUGGUCUGAGAGGAUGAUCAGCCACACUGGAACUGAGACACGGUCCAGACUCCUACGGGAGGCAGCAGUGGGGAAUAUUGGACAAUGGGCGCAAGCCUGAUCCAGCCAUACCGCGUGGGUGAAGAAGGCCUUUGGGUUGUAAAGCCCUUUUGUUGGGAAAGAAAAGCAGCAGGUUAAUACCCCGCUGUUCUGACGGUACCCAAAGAAUAAGCACCGGCUAACUUCGUG
RNAcentral lists this ribosomal RNA (491 nucleotides) under uncultured bacterium. RNAcentral describes it as "partial 16S ribosomal RNA". It matches the Rfam family "Bacterial small subunit ribosomal RNA", at positions 29 to 507 of the family's 1533-position model. The record is from RNAcentral.